This is a non-coding RNA of Desulfuromonadales bacterium C00003094, 120 nucleotides long. NCBI's taxonomy places the organism in Bacteria, Pseudomonadati, Thermodesulfobacteriota, Desulfuromonadia, Desulfuromonadales. The record is from Rfam.
GGCGGGUUCCGACUCUGACCUGUCUUCGCUAAGGCUUAAAGCUAUGGGGGGGCGGGCUGUGGGUUUCACUGGAAACGGUGGCGCCUCCCGUAUUUGGAAAGGAGUCGGAGGGUGUUGCAU